This 240-nucleotide unclassified non-coding RNA is filed under the name soil metagenome. Its description in RNAcentral is "partial contains 5.8S ribosomal RNA, internal transcribed spacer 2, and large subunit ribosomal RNA". The record is from RNAcentral.
AACCAUAGAAACCUGCGGAGUACCUGGGAGGGAUCAUUAUAGUAUAUGGAAUCUCCAUUCUAUAAACCCACUCUGCGUAUCUUGUAACUGUUGCUUCCAUGGGACUUGGUUCCGCCACACCGGCUUCACGGCUGGUGAGCGCCCAUGGAAGGAGAAACAAAACUCUUCUUUGAAAUGUAGUCAGUCUGAACAAGUUUUUAUAAACGUUAAAACUUUUAACAACGGAUCUCAGAUCGGAAG